RNA transcript from Erigeron canadensis, 2288 nucleotides. It is a transcript of the gene named glutamyl-tRNA(Gln) amidotransferase subunit B, chloroplastic/mitochondrial, with no coding region annotated. The record is from RefSeq and is a predicted model, not a curated record. The transcript has 10 exons. Lineage: Eukaryota; Viridiplantae; Streptophyta; Magnoliopsida; Asterales; Asteraceae.
GUUUGAACGAAUAUUUGUAUUUAGGAAUGUGAAUUAACAUUUUUGCAGAUAAUAUUACUAAUAAUAAUGUUUAUUGCAGCAUACAAUCAGUUGGUGUGUGUUUAGAUUAUUCUACUCGCCAGAUACUUAUCAUAGUUUAAUCCCAAUUUCCUAUUAGUUAAAGAAAAGUUUAAUGGCUCUUACACUAUUUAGAGGCAUUCAAGGCCACCUGUUACUACCAUGUUCAUCUGCAUUCUCGGCAAGAAAACAUGUUCUUUUUUGUUCGAUGCAAAGCACGCAAACCGAAACCACGAUUAAGACAAAACAACAGGCUCCCUCAAACUUCUCAGAAACUGCACGAGCAAAAGCCGUUGAAAAGGUUUUGAAAGACUAUGAAGCAAUUAUCGGCAUAGAAACACAUGUACAGUUAUCGACUCUGACAAAGGCGUUUUGUAGCUGUGCUUAUAAUUACGGGUCUCUACCAAAUUCGUGUGUUUGUCCUGUUUGUAUGGGUCUACCUGGUGCUUUACCCGUUUUGAACUCUAAAGUAAUACAAUUUGCGGUGAUGCUUGGUCUUGCACUCAACUGCAAAUUAUCUUUGAGUUCAAAGUUUGAUAGGAAACAGUACUUUUAUCCGGAUCUUCCAAAAGGGUACCAGAUUUCCCAAUUUGACAUUCCGAUUGCCACAAAUGGGUUCAUUGAUUUGGAUCUUCCACUUGAAUUUGGUGGAGGACAUAGAAGGUUUGGCAUUACUAGGGUUCAUAUGGAGGAGGAUGCAGGGAAGCUACUCCAUACAGGAACCGGGAGUUAUUCUCAGGUUGAUUUGAAUAGAGCAGGGGUUCCUUUGCUUGAAAUCGUUUCUGAACCUGAUAUGCGAACGGGCAUUGAGGCUGCAGAAUAUGCUGCGGAGCUGCAAAGAGUAGUGAGAUAUUUGGGAGUAGGUAACGGAAACAUGCAAGAAGGAUCACUUCGUUGUGAUGUCAAUGUUUCUAUUCGUCCGAUUGGACAAUUAGAAUUCGGCACCAAGGUCGAGAUAAAGAAUCUGAAUUCAUUCUCUGCAAUGAGUAGAGCUAUUGAUUUUGAGAUUGCAAGGCAGGCGGCACUCUACAACGAAGGGCAAGCCGACGAAAUUGUGCAAGAAACUCGUCUUUGGGAAGAAGGCUCUCAGAAAACAGUUACAAUGAGGAAAAAAGAAGGGCUUGCAGAUUAUCGAUAUUUUCCUGAACCGGACCUUCCAGAAGUUGUACUUACCGAAGAAUAUGUGAAUGGUAUCCGUGAUUCUUUACCUGAACUUCCAGAAAUGAAGCGCCGUAGAUACGAGGAGAUGGGUCUAAGCAUACAAGACGUUCUUUUUCUUGCCAACGAUGUGAACGUUGCAGACUUUUUUGAUGCCACUAUUGCUAAGGUUCCUGAUGUCAAACUGGCGGCUAAUUGGAUCAUGGGAGAUAUUGCUGCUUACAUGAAGAACGAGAAGCUGGCUAUCAAUGAAAUCAAACUUAGCCCUGAAGAGUUAAGUGAGUUGAUAGCCUCCAUAAAAAGUGGAACUAUUAGCGGAAAGAUAGGGAAAGAGAUACUUCUUGAACUAAUGGAAAAAGGUGGAACCGUCAAGGGAUUAAUUGAAGAGAAAGAUCUUGUACAGAUAGUAGACCCUAAUGAGAUCGAGAAAAUAAUUGAUAAAGUAAUUGCUAAUAAUCCAAAGCAGUUGGAGCAAUACCGUGGGGGUAAAACCAAGCUGCAAGGGUUUUUUGCGGGACAGGUGAUGAAAGAAUCAAAGGGCAAGGCAAAUCCAGCGAUCUUGAACAAGAUUCUUUUAGAAAAGUUAAAUGCUUAAUGUUGAUAAUAUGUUGAUUGUAAGGUUCCUCUUUGUUAGUUAUGUGCGGUUACUCUGUUCCAGAGUUAGCAUUUUUUUUUACUUUUUGUUUAUAUACAGGUGGAUCUGGGUUCUGGUUUUUCCUUAACGCAUCAGAUGGGUCAAAUAGGUCUAGCGGGUUGAAAGUUGGUUAAACGGAGUUUAUAAUGCUACAGCCUUCUAAAUCAUUGAUUCAAAAAGUUAGAUUUAUUGUGGUCAAGCUAGAACUGACUUCGGUUCUCCUUGGGGUAUCAAACAAGAAGCAACAGUAGUAUUACCAUCAUCUUUUUGUUGAAACUACACCAGGGAGUUCUACAUAUGAAACAAGAUAGGGGGUUCUUUCUUAUUUUUCAUACUUCUAUUGAACUGCAAACACUGCAGAUGUAUUUAUUCAGAUUAUAGGUUACAAACUGUAUUUGGCUUUUAUUACAACGAUACUCAUACGAAGCUUUUCAUGCCA